GUUUGCAUUAGAGUUAAAUGAAAUGGAUCCUUUGUCAAGGUCUUUAUUACCACCCACCGACACUCGUUUUAGACCAGAUCAAAGGCUUCUAGAAGAAGGAAACAUAGAGGAGGCUGAGGUGCAGAAGCAGAGGAUUGAGAAGCUGCAGAGGGAGAGGCGGAGGGUCCUGGAGGAAAACGGUGUGGAGCACCAGCCCCGGUUUUUCAGGAAAUCCAGUGACGAUGCUUGGGUGAGCAACGGGACCUAUCUGGAACUGAGGAAAGACCUUGGCUUUUCCAAGCUGGACCAUCCCGUCUUGUGGUGAAAUGUAAGGGAGAGAGAGAAUCCCUGCACUUUGCCCACAGUUGCUUCCGGAAGCAACACACACCUGUCUGUACGUUUAAACGAUAGCAGCCAGAACGAUCCCUUGUGCUUAGCGUAGCAUCGUAAGCACUGAAGUAUAUACUUUUCUUCAGUAAGUCUCUUUACAGUUUCAAGUGUUAUCACGAUCGUUUAUAUGAAUGUAGAACGCCUCGGUAUUUCUUUUUAUAUAUAAACUAUUUAAUAAAAAUGAAAGGUUGAAUGUUAA
This 568-nucleotide long non-coding RNA is filed under the name Rattus norvegicus (Norway rat). RNAcentral's name for it is "long non-coding RNA NONRATT021412". The record is from RNAcentral. Lineage: Eukaryota; Metazoa; Chordata; Mammalia; Rodentia; Muridae.